Molecule: transfer RNA, 67 nt
Filed under: Nodopelta heminoda
Lineage: Eukaryota; Metazoa; Mollusca; Gastropoda; Neomphalida; Peltospiridae
Description: tRNA-Lys
Rfam family: tRNA
About the family: Transfer RNA (tRNA) molecules are approximately 80 nucleotides in length. Their secondary structure includes four short double-helical elements and three loops (D, anti-codon, and T loops). Further hydrogen bonds mediate the characteristic L-shaped molecular structure. tRNAs have two regions of fundamental functional importance: the anti-codon, which is responsible for specific mRNA codon recognition, and the 3' end, to which the tRNAs corresponding amino acid is attached (by aminoacyl-tRNA synthetases). tRNAs cope with the degeneracy of the genetic code in two manners: having more than one tRNA (with a specific anti-codon) for a particular amino acid; and 'wobble' base-pairing, i.e. permitting non-standard base-pairing at the 3rd anti-codon position.
Source: RNAcentral
CUUCAGAUGGCCGAGAAAAAAGCAAUAGAUUUUUAAUCUAUGGACGAUAUGAAUUUAUCUCUGAAGA